RNAcentral lists this ribosomal RNA (1402 nucleotides) under Rathayibacter caricis. RNAcentral describes it as "bacterial SSU rRNA". It matches the Rfam family "Bacterial small subunit ribosomal RNA". Lineage: Bacteria; Bacillati; Actinomycetota; Actinomycetes; Micrococcales; Microbacteriaceae. The record is from RNAcentral.
GCAGUCGACGAUGNAGCCCAGCUUGCUGGGUGGAUUAGUGGCGAACGGGUGAGUAACACGUGAGUAACCUGCCCUUGACUCUGGGAUAAGCGCUGGAAACGGCGUCUAAUACCGGAUACGACCUGCCCCGGCAUCGGGUGCGGGUGGAAAAUUUUUCGAUCGAGGAUGGACUCGCGGCCUAUCAGCUUGUUGGUGAGGUAAUGGCUCACCAAGGCGACGACGGGUAGCCGGCCUGAGAGGGUGACCGGCCACACUGGGACUGAGACACGGCCCAGACUCCUACGGGAGGCAGCAGUGGGGAAUAUUGCACAAUGGGCGAAAGCCUGAUGCAGCAACGCCGCGUGGGGGAUGACGGCCUUCGGGUUGUAAACCUCUUUUAGUAGGGAAGAAGGACUUCGGUUUGACGGUACCUGCAGAAAAAGCACCGGCUAACUACGUGCCAGCAGCCGCGGUAAUACGUAGGGUGCAAGCGUUGUCCGGAAUUAUUGGGCGUAAAGAGCUCGUAGGCGGUUUGUCGCGUCUGCUGUGAAAACCCGAGGCUCAACCUCGGGCCUGCAGUGGGUACGGGCAGACUAGAGUGCGGUAGGGGAGAAUGGAAUUCCUGGUGUAGCGAUGGAAUGCGCAUAUAUCAUGAGGAACACCGAUGGCGAAAGCAGUUCUCUGGGCCGUUACUGACACUGAGGAGCGAAAGCGUGGGGAGCGAACAGGAUUAGAUACCCUGGUAGUCCACGCCGUAAACGUUGAGAACUAGAUGUGGGGACCUUUCCACGGUCUCCGUGUCGCAGCUAACGCAUUAAGUUCCCCGCCUGGGGAGUACGGCCGCAAGGCUAAAACUCAAAGGAAUUGACGGGGGCCCGCACAAGCGGCGGAGCAUGCGGAUUAAUUCGAUGCAACGCGAAGAACCUUACCAAGGCUUGACAUAUACCGGAAACUUCCAGAAAUGGUUGCCCCGCAAGGUCGGUAUACAGGUGGUGCAUGGUUGUCGUCAGCUCGUGUCGUGAGAUGUUGGGUUAAGUCCCGCAACGAGCGCAACCCUCGUUUUAUGUUGCCAGCACGUCAUGGUGGGAACUCAUAGGAGACUGCCGGGGUCAACUCGGAGGAAGGUGGGGAUGACGUCAAAUCAUCAUGCCCCCUAUGUCUUGGGCUUCACGCAUGCUACAAUGGCCGGUACAAAGGGCUGCGAUACCGUAAGGUGGAGCGAAUCCCAAAAAGCCGGUCUCAGUUCGGAUUGAGGUCUUCAACUCGACCUCAUGAAGUCGGAGUCGCUAGUAAUCUCAGAUCAGCAACGCUGCGGUGAAUACGUUCCCGGGCUUUGUACACACCGCCCGUCAAGUCAUGAAAGUCGGUGACACCCGCAGCCGGUGGCCUAACCCCUUGUCGGAGGGAGCCGUCGAAGGUGGAU